Molecule: ribosomal RNA, 406 nt
Filed under: uncultured bacterium
Lineage: Bacteria
Description: partial 16S ribosomal RNA
Rfam family: Bacterial small subunit ribosomal RNA
Source: RNAcentral
AUUGCACGCUGGCGGCAGGCUUAACACAUGCAAGUCGAGCGAGCGGAGGCCGGGUAAGUAAUGUCUGGGCAAAUGCCUGAUGGAGGGGGAUAAAUACUGGCAACGGUAGCUAAUACCGCAUACCCUCCUAUGUACCCAGAUGGUAUUAGCUAGUAGGUGGGGUAAUGGUUCACCUAGGAGAAGAUCCCUAGCUGGUCGGAGAGGAUGACCAGCAACACGGGAAAGGAGACACGGUCCAGACGCCUACGGGAGGAAGCAGUGGGGAAUAUUGGACAAUGGGGGCAAGCCUGAUGCAGCCAUGCCGCGGGUGUGAAGAAGGCCUUCGGGUUGUAAAGCACUUUCAGCGAGGAGGCGUUACUCGCAGAAGAAGCACCGGCUAACUACGUGCCAGCAGCCGCGGUAAUUC